Molecule: long non-coding RNA, 433 nt
Organism: Peromyscus eremicus (cactus mouse)
Lineage: Eukaryota; Metazoa; Chordata; Mammalia; Rodentia; Cricetidae
Exons: 2
Source: RefSeq, a predicted model, not a curated record
CCUGGGUCUGUCAUUGAAAAUGACUUUGAGUGGAGAAUUUUAUAGUCAAGGUCUCUAUAGUGAAUGAGAGAAGGCCUCCAUCUUCCACAGCCAGAAGCAAGGGCAGCUAGCUACAGCUCCGAGAACAAGAAAGAAUUCGCAGUAUGUUGUUUGAUGUUUCGAGGCAGCCAAGGAAAGAAUGACUGAAUUUUAAGGAGAUGGUCCAGAGAUGCUUGCAGACAUUUUGCUGAUAUGCAGAUGCAUUCUCCUGGCGGCAUCUCCAGCAUGAACAGAGCCCUCUACAGCCAGCAAUGGGUGAUGCACACGGGGUCCAAGAACCUCCGCAGACCCUUGGCACACUGAUUGGGCAUGCCAGGUCUGUGACUUCUGUCCCACAGAUGUGACCUUGCCUGCCUGCCUCCCACAUCUUUUUAAUUAAGUCUUUCUUGCACAA